GUAAAAUUCCCCAAAAAGUUUCUUUUGCACGUUGGAAUUCUAUAUGAUGAUCGAAUAGAAUGCAAACUAUCAGGACCAGGAGCUGACUAUGGGGGGACAAAGCAAAUUACUACAUCGGGAAGUAAAUGCGUAUCGUGGCAUAAACAUCAUCUUGAGGCUGCCAAGGGCCUGAAAUUCGAGGAUCGGGUUUUCUCAGAUAGAUCACGCAGAAAGGCUGAAAAUUACUGUAGAAAUCCUACUGGAGAUGUCGGAGGGCCGUGGUGUUACGUCGAAGAAGAAGGUUUCGAAUAUUUUCAGAAAGAGUAUUGCGAUGUCCCAUUUUGCGACGAUAGAGAUUGUUUAAUAUUUACGAAGAAUUCAACUAGUCACCCUAUACUCACAAAAUUGCGCGCAGCCAGUGGUAACACUUCAUUUUGGUUCAAACUGUGGAAUCCAGAUGAUGAA
Molecule: long non-coding RNA, 444 nt
Organism: Frieseomelitta varia
Lineage: Eukaryota; Metazoa; Arthropoda; Insecta; Hymenoptera; Apidae
Exons: 3
Source: RefSeq, a predicted model, not a curated record